GGUUUUCCACUUACAUAUUUAUAGUUUGUUGGGAUUACCUACCUUCAUCCAAUCCGUGACUCACCAUCUGAGGGCCAUCCAUGGAAAGCGCAGUGUAAACGAAUAGCCUGCUACCGUAUGUGAUCUAUUGUUAACGUAUCUUGUUAACGUAUUCAGAAAUGGAGGGCCUUGUCCCUGCUUUGCACCUAGUUUUGGGUCAUGCUGUGGCCGCGCUGGAAUGCGAAGACAGGAACGAUUUGCAUCAGAGCUUGCAAGAGUACAACAGUGCAUGGUGCGCCCUAUCAUAUGCACUAGAAGUGCAUGGCACCGCGAGCUGUGAUAGCGUUCCGACGCUGGUACGAGAAACUUGCGCUGUGCUGCUGGAAACUUAUUGCACACGGCACGAGGUGCGAUGCAUAUUCAGUAUGAAUUUGAAAUUAAUCUAAGGUUUUAAAUAUUCUCACAAGAUUAUCAUCCGCAGCUUCCGUGGCAGAGAAUGUUUUGUUAGCUGACUGUUCCAGUUCCCCUGCUGCGUGAACCUUUACUCAGCUUUUGCUAUAUGCAAUAUCCUUAAUAUUUUCUCAUAAAUACACAUAUUGUGAAUUUACGAAAGCUAGUGCAGAGGGGCGGCAAAGCUUUGCUGUUGUGGUCAUGCAGGCUAUCCGCGAAAGUCUGGCGGCGGACAGCGCGGAAGGACCCCCUGUCGAUCUGGGUCGGUCGCCCCAAGCCACAUCCCUGACCGCAUGUUCUUCAGGCGAGUCCUUGUAAACGUAGGAUUUAAUUUACAAAACGUUUUGGUCUUACGAGGCCAUUAAUUGACUGCCGCCGUAUGUGAAGCGUGCCUCACAUCCCACUUUGGAACCUCACCCUCGGCCAUUAAAAGCUUCUUCAGCAGAUGCAUUGAGUUUAUUUUGCCCACAACACAUGAUAUGGAAUUGAACUCUGCCCACGGAGUUUGGAUACUGGGUGCUUAAAC
This 955-nucleotide long non-coding RNA is filed under the name Volvox carteri. Its description in RNAcentral is "long non-coding RNA (VCAR_LNC000615)". Lineage: Eukaryota; Viridiplantae; Chlorophyta; Chlorophyceae; Chlamydomonadales; Volvocaceae. The record is from RNAcentral.